GGGGAUGAAAGGAUUUCGACGGGGAGUCUGAACCCGGAUAAGCGAGCAGCGGCGCGGAACCGCUUUAAAAGCCGCAAAACCUAAAAAUAAACGACAACGAAACAGUUGCACUCGCUGCUUAACUAAGCAGCCGUCUCUGCCGGGAGGACUGCGGCCCGGUAAGGGGCGUCACACAGCAGUGAACGUGAACAGGGGAGCGUCCCGUAGCCUGUCACGCAUAACGGGGCUACUGAAGAACUGAGCCUGCGCACCGGCGCUGUUCGGAGGGAAUGUCAAAAGAUGUGAUACGCUCGUAGAAAGUCCCUGCGAGGGCUUUUCGGACGCGGUUUCGAUUACCGCCAUCUCCACCA
RNAcentral lists this transfer-messenger RNA (350 nucleotides) under Acutalibacteraceae. RNAcentral describes it as "CAG-177 sp902787025 Standard tmRNA". It matches the Rfam family "transfer-messenger RNA". From Rfam's summary of the family: Bacterial tmRNA, also known as 10Sa RNA or SsrA, is named for its dual tRNA and mRNA-like properties. Its role is to liberate the mRNA from a stalled ribosome. Lineage: Bacteria; Bacillati; Bacillota; Clostridia; Eubacteriales. RNAcentral also lists the same sequence under 1 other name. The record is from RNAcentral.